RNAcentral lists this ribosomal RNA (300 nucleotides) under Triticum aestivum (bread wheat). RNAcentral's name for it is "partial small subunit ribosomal RNA". Lineage: Eukaryota; Viridiplantae; Streptophyta; Magnoliopsida; Poales; Poaceae. The record is from RNAcentral.
CCACACGUGGGUUGCAUUAUUGCUAAACUCCCUCAUGGUGUGAGGAACUUUACUACUUCUCUCAAUCACAUGAAACAGGAAUUCUCGGUUGAUGAUGUCACUAUUCAUCUAAGUGUUGAGCAGAACUCUAGAGUAAAGGAGUCACAUGUGAAAGGGGCAGAGGGAUCUUCUAGCGCCAAUGUGGUGCAGAAGAAUUUCCACAAGUUCGAGAAAAAUAACAUUGUCCAGCAGAAUACUACCUUCAAGAAGAAGUGCAAGAAGAAAGAUGGUUGUUUCACUUGUGGUGAUGAAAAUAACUAG